RNAcentral lists this long non-coding RNA (931 nucleotides) under Salmo salar (Atlantic salmon). Its description in RNAcentral is "lncRNA (ENSSSAG00000082576.1, ENSSSAG00000112952.1)". The record is from RNAcentral. Lineage: Eukaryota; Metazoa; Chordata; Actinopteri; Salmoniformes; Salmonidae.
CUUCAAUAUCGCCACCUACUGUGGUGGAGUGUAAUAUCAUAACGGUAAACAUUUAAAUAAAGUGCACUGCACACUCGUCAGAAACUGAAUGUUAAAUAUUUAGCAAGAAUGUGUACAUCAGGCGUACUAAUAAAAAAAAUAUAUGCUGGUAAACACAGUUCAGCAAUUUACUAUCAAUCCUGGCUACAUUUCCACCUGCAAAUUGCCGUAAUUAAUAACAUCAGCACUAGAAAGUUCCCCCCUACUAUUUGUGACUUUACCUAAAUAUUCAUGUAUUUAAUUAUAAAAGUCCACUUUUCUCAACCUUCGUGGGAGAAGUAUCUGGAUUGAGGUUUAUGAACGAUUUAGUUUAGCUAAUCAUCGACUACUCCCUGGUGGACAAAAGAUGAUCAACAGCAUAGUUCCAAAUGGACUCAGUACUUCCUCAAUUCAACAGAAAGGGCUGUAUUAUAGCGGUGUGCUUGGUAGUUGCUUGAAGAAUUCAUGAGAUAACCCUGUCUCUGGUUACAUUUAUGAUUCUGUGGUAGUGUUCUCCUGCCAUCCGCCAAACCCAGAUUCGUCCGUCGGCCUGCCAGAUGGUGAAGCGUGAUUCAUCACUCCAGAGAACGCGUUUCCACUGCUCCAGAGUCCAAUGGCGGUCCACCACUCCAGCCGAUGCUCGCUAAUCCUAAAGUCAAUGAGGACUGGGGAGUACUGCACCAAAGCUCAGAGACCACGCUGCUGCCACAACUUGGUACUGACUCGGCAGCCAUUUUGGGAACAACAUCAAAUCAUUUUGUACCAGAGGUGCCAGACAAAGACUAGCCAAAAGUAUGCAAGAGGACCACAGAAACACUUAAGUUAGCAGCAGUUCCUUUGACUCCAAAAAGCAAAGCCUCGUCCUGGACAGAGAGAAGAAUAUUACCUUCCUGCUGAAGGAGCUGGAUUCACU